GCCGAAGUGGUGGAAUUGGUAGACACGCUAGCUUGAGGGGCUAGUUCCCACUAUUUUGGGAGUCGGGGUUCGAGUCCCCGCUUCGGCA
RNAcentral lists this transfer RNA (88 nucleotides) under Candidatus Aminicenantota bacterium. RNAcentral describes it as "Candidatus Aminicenantes bacterium (hot springs metagenome) tRNA-Leu". It matches the Rfam family "tRNA". Rfam says of the family: Transfer RNA (tRNA) molecules are approximately 80 nucleotides in length. Their secondary structure includes four short double-helical elements and three loops (D, anti-codon, and T loops). Lineage: Bacteria; Candidatus Aminicenantota. The record is from RNAcentral.